This is a non-coding RNA of Pelobates cultripes (western spadefoot toad), 237 nucleotides long. NCBI's taxonomy places the organism in Eukaryota, Metazoa, Chordata, Amphibia, Anura, Pelobatidae. The record is from the annotation of a GenBank genome assembly.
GGAGAACGCUUCACCCUACGGUAAAGGAUUUCACCUACUACUCUGCUCUCCACAACCGCUAUUCUCGCAUAGAUUACCUCUUCAUUGCACAGAAAGGUAUCUCCCACCUACUUAAAGCCGAGAUCGCACCGGCCACAUGGUCAGACCACGGUUCGGUCGAAAUGGAAUUGGACUCUCCCUUGUUCGGACCGGUGGCCUGGACCUGGAGAUAAAAUGAGGCGCUGUUACUAGAUCCUG